Xiphophorus maculatus (southern platyfish) is the source of this 63-nucleotide non-coding RNA. The record is from Rfam. NCBI's taxonomy places the organism in Eukaryota, Metazoa, Chordata, Actinopteri, Cyprinodontiformes, Poeciliidae.
CUGACCGUUUUCCUCUGGUGUUCAGAGUUUCCAUCAUGUCUAGCACCAUUUGAAAUCGGUUAC